Molecule: long non-coding RNA, 1782 nt
Organism: Oncorhynchus tshawytscha (Chinook salmon)
Lineage: Eukaryota; Metazoa; Chordata; Actinopteri; Salmoniformes; Salmonidae
Source: Ensembl
UGAUAGAUGCAAUGUUUAGGUUAGGUCUGGAAUUAUAUUAAGUUGCGAUCGGAUGUCUCACAUAUCUCAUACUUACGUAUUGUACUUAGUGAACCUGGAUGUGCCUCGUGUGUAAAAUCAAGGAGAAAGUAUCCCUGUUGUUGAUCAAUCAAUCAAAUUUAUUUAUAAAGCAGUUUUUACAUCUGCAAUUGUCAGACCCCAAACAGCAAAGCAUAAGCAAGAACACAGUGGCUAGGAAAAACUCCCUAAAAGGAAGAAACCUAGAGAGGAACCAGGCUGAGAGGGGUUGCCAGUCCUCUUCUGGCUGUACCGGAUAAAGAUUUCCAAUACUUCAAGACCCCGUGGUCGGUCUGAUAGCUUUUAACAAAGACACGGUAAGUAAAGAAAUAAACAUUUGUUGGUGUAGCGGCUAAAGGAGGCAGCACAACCAGGUGGACUUGGUCAGCAGGGGUUCCAUAGGACUGGGAUCAGCAGCACAACCAGGUGGACUUGGUCAGCAGGGGUUCCAUAGGACUGGGAUCAGCAGCACAACCAAGUGGGCUCAGGCAAUGAAUGUCUGGGUGUAUUCAGGCCAGGGUGCCCUCAGCCACAUUCCUCUGCGUUUUCCACUUCCACGGGGGAGACACAGAAAGAUAAAACAGACAUUUACAAGUCAUUUAUGACAACACAUAUUUUGUUAAAUCAGGGGUCGGUCUUCCAUAAUUUUUCACUCAUAAGCAGUAGUAGACUACAUGAAAAAUGAUUUCAUUUAAAAAAAAAGAAAAACAUAACUUGGUAGGAAUGCAGUCAAGUUGCACAAAUGAAAGGGUCUCUGAUCCCUACCACACAUUAACAGUUGAUUCACCUGUGGCGGAAAAGUGGUAUGUUUACAUCUCGUACAGGCUACAUGUUUGUGUGUAAGUUAGCUGUGUUGUUACCAUCCCUGCAGCCUAGUCUACAAUGAAACAAAAGCCUAAGAGUGAUAAAAAUGCCCUGUGGUUUUGAAUGUCAAAUGUCGUGAUGAUUUAAUCUAUCGCUCUCCGUGAUGCUGAAUCUCAGCUAGUAUCCUAAUUGUGCUUGGCAAGGGCUUAUCAAUUUCUUCCCUCCUAACACUCGUUUUUUUUUGCGAUGGCUCUUACUGUCACCGACCCAUGUGUUAAACACAUUUUUAUUAACUAUUUCAGUCUAAUGCCAAAUCCCCCUUAAAACAAGCCUAUGAUGACAGUGGAAAGCAAAAAAAACUGUACCACUAUAGUUAGGAACAGACCUUGGGGGGAAGCAUCCUCUCAUUGCUGCUGACAGGUCGGCAGGGUGGAGAUGGUUGUUUCUUCCACCGGCAAACUGAAUGGGGAUAGGGAUGUUGAUCGGCGGGUGUUGACUGUUACAACCACUGGCAGGAGGAGGUCAUUUACUGUAAAAGAAUGGAGUAGUAUAUUAUUGUUUAGGGGCAUUUGCCAAAUCAUAAUUGCAGUUAGGAAUUGAAUCACUUAAGACAAUAUAGGAUGACUUCAUAACUGAAGAUUCCAGUGGCAACAUAGAACUGUUUUCAGUUCUUGGUUAUACCUCACCUUGCUCUGAUUCUUGCACUUGUUUCUCUGGAUAUGCACUGUUCACAUUCACGUAGGCAGCGAGGUAAACAACGUAUUUAUUCCUUUCUAUCUCCAUGUUGAAGUCCUGGAAUUGGGGCGUUCCUGAGUUAUCGUACAGCAUCCAUUGCCCUCCUUCUUGUUUAACACAUAGCACCAUGUGUUUGAUCUCUGCUGUGAUCAAACCCAGCAAAAGGAACUGAAGCUCGUACUUCCU